UAUGAAUUGCCUGAAAAAAGGAUUAUCUUGAUAGGAUAAAUUAUGUAAUAUAUAUUACAUUCAUAA
RNAcentral lists this transfer RNA (66 nucleotides) under Tephritis femoralis. Its description in RNAcentral is "tRNA-Ile". Lineage: Eukaryota; Metazoa; Arthropoda; Insecta; Diptera; Tephritidae. The record is from RNAcentral.